UGGGUUGUGGCUCAGUGGUAGAGCGCUUGCCUAGCAUGCAUGAGGUACUGGGUUCUAUCCUGGGCACCACAU
Non-coding RNA from Ictidomys tridecemlineatus (thirteen-lined ground squirrel), 72 nucleotides. Lineage: Eukaryota; Metazoa; Chordata; Mammalia; Rodentia; Sciuridae. The record is from Rfam.